CAGCAGGGGUGCACCAAUAACUGAAUGCCGCUGAGUUUUGACAUCCCUGGUUAUAGUUUAAUUUCGGGUCCACUGUUUGUGAUAAUGUGAAAUAUGUUGACAUUGUAGUAUCAAUUUGCAUUCGUCCAUAUGAUUUUGUAUACAAUUUAUUUUGCCAUUUAAGAAGCAAUAUAGAAAUCUACUGUGGAUGUAUGAAUGUUGAUAAGACUAGAUGUGUUCAAGCCAGUGUUAUUAGACCGGGCCUGGGCUCUCGGGUUGAUCCGGUGAUUUAGUCUUAUCAACAUUCAUACAUCCAC
Molecule: unclassified non-coding RNA, 296 nt
Filed under: Hevea brasiliensis (rubber tree)
Lineage: Eukaryota; Viridiplantae; Streptophyta; Magnoliopsida; Malpighiales; Euphorbiaceae
Source: RNAcentral